This 480-nucleotide ribosomal RNA is filed under the name uncultured bacterium. RNAcentral describes it as "bacterial SSU rRNA". It matches the Rfam family "Bacterial small subunit ribosomal RNA", at positions 36 to 549 of the family's 1533-position model. The record is from RNAcentral.
CAGUGCGGGCGCGCUUACCAUGCAAGUCGAACGAGAAAGGGGAGCAAUCCCUGAGUACAGUGGCGUACGGGUGCCUUCUAGGGGAUGAUCUACCUUCUAGUGGGGAAUACCUCUGCCAAACCGGAGACAAUACCGCAUAAGCUCGAGAGAGGAAACCCGCAAGGGGCUGGAAGAGGAGUCCGCGGCCGAUUAUCUAGUUGGUGGGGUAAAAGCCUACCAAGGCAAAGAUCGGUAGCCGGCCUGAGAGGGCACACGGCCACACUGGCACUGAAACACGGGCCAGACUCCUACGGGAGGCAGCAGUGGGGAAUCUUGCACAAUGGGGGCAACCCUGAUGCAGCGACGCCGCGUGAGCGAUGAAGCCCUUCGGGGUGUAAAGCUCUUUCGACGGGAACGAUAAUGACGGUACCCGGAGAAGAAGCUGCGGCUAACUACGUGCCAGCAGCCGCGGUAAUACGUAGGCAGCAAGCGUUGUUCGGA